Molecule: non-coding RNA, 315 nt
Organism: Vicia faba (fava bean)
Lineage: Eukaryota; Viridiplantae; Streptophyta; Magnoliopsida; Fabales; Fabaceae
Source: the annotation of a GenBank genome assembly
AUGUUAAAAACUUGGUAUGGUGGUAUGUCGAUCAAAACCUUGUGUGGAUAUGCUUCCAAAGUAACAUCUUCUUCUAGUUCUACUUGGUGGAGGGAUAUUAUUAGGAUAAGGGAACUAUCUUUUGAAUAUCCUAUCAUCUCUAAUAGUAGAUUUCUAAUGGGUAAUGGUUUUAAAACUUCUUUUUGGGAAGCUAAAUGGUUGGAGGAUAUAACUUUGAAGGAGCUUUUUCUGGAUUUAUAUUUGGCUUCUUGUUUGAAGGAAGUGACGGUGGCGGGUAUGGGGGGUUGGAUUGAAGAGGGGGUGGAUUUAGGGUGA